This is a long non-coding RNA of Rhagoletis pomonella (apple maggot), 148 nucleotides long. RefSeq lists it as uncharacterized. The transcript is spliced from 3 exons. The record is from RefSeq and is a predicted model, not a curated record. Lineage: Eukaryota; Metazoa; Arthropoda; Insecta; Diptera; Tephritidae.
GUUGGAGAAAAAAUGGAGAUAGUGGAUGAUAUAGAAAGUGUGACUGACCGCAUUACUAAAGGUGAAUAUGCUUAUUUCGAUAAUGAAUAUUUCUUGCGGUACUUACGCAUGAAAGGCGCACAGCGCCGCGAGGAGCAACAAAUAGCCG